Molecule: transfer RNA, 69 nt
Filed under: Pseudochirulus canescens (Lowland ringtail)
Lineage: Eukaryota; Metazoa; Chordata; Mammalia; Diprotodontia; Pseudocheiridae
Description: tRNA-His
Rfam family: tRNA
About the family: Transfer RNA (tRNA) molecules are approximately 80 nucleotides in length. Their secondary structure includes four short double-helical elements and three loops (D, anti-codon, and T loops).
Source: RNAcentral
GCAUAUAUAAUUUAACCAAAAUAUUAGAUUGUGAAUCUAAACACAGGAGCUUAACCCUCCUUAUAUGCC